CCUACGGGAGGCAGCAGUGGGGAAUAUUGGGCAAUGGGCACAAGCCUGACCCAGCAACGCCGCGUGAAGGAAGAAGGCUUUAGGGUUGUAAACUUCUUUUUUCAGGGACGUAGCAAGUGACGGUACCUGAGGAAUAAGCCACGGCUAACUACGUGCCUGCAGCCGCGGUAAUACGUAGGCGGCAAGCGUUAUCCGGAUUUACUGGGUGUAAAGGGCGUGUAGGCGGGAAAGCAAGUCAGAUGUGAAAGCCAUGGGCUCAACCUGUGGCCUGCAUUUGAAACUGGUUUUCUUGAGUAUUGGUGAGGCAGACGGAAUGCCUGGUGUAGCGGUGAAAUGCGUAGAUAUUAGGAGGAACACCAGUGGCGAAGGCGGUCUGCUGGACAGCAACUGACGCUGAGGCGCGAAAGCGUGGGGAGCAAACAGGAUUAGAUACCCGGGUAGUC
Molecule: ribosomal RNA, 443 nt
Filed under: uncultured bacterium
Lineage: Bacteria
Description: partial 16S ribosomal RNA
Rfam family: Bacterial small subunit ribosomal RNA
Source: RNAcentral